UACGUAGGGUGCGAGCGUUGUCCGGAAUUAUUGGGCGUAAAGAGCUCGUAGGCGGUUUGUCGCGUCUGCUGUGAAAACCUAAGGCUCAACCUUGGGCUUGCAGUGGGUACGGGCAGACUAGAGUUCGGUAGGGGAGACUGGAAUUCCUGGUGUAGCGGUGAAAUGCGCAGAUAUCAGGAGGAACACCGAUGGCGAAGGCAGGUCGUCUGGGCCGAUACUGACGCUGAGGAGACGAAAGCGUGGGGAGCGAACAGG
This 255-nucleotide ribosomal RNA is filed under the name uncultured bacterium. RNAcentral describes it as "partial 16S ribosomal RNA". It matches the Rfam family "Bacterial small subunit ribosomal RNA", at positions 524 to 776 of the family's 1533-position model. The record is from RNAcentral.